GGGCCUAUAGCUCAGUUGGUUAGAGCCGCGGACUCAUAAUCCGCUGGUCGCCGGUUCAAGUCCGGCUGGGCCCACCA
This 77-nucleotide transfer RNA is filed under the name Dietzia timorensis. RNAcentral's name for it is "tRNA-Ile". It matches the Rfam family "tRNA". From Rfam's summary of the family: Transfer RNA (tRNA) molecules are approximately 80 nucleotides in length. Their secondary structure includes four short double-helical elements and three loops (D, anti-codon, and T loops). The record is from RNAcentral. Lineage: Bacteria; Bacillati; Actinomycetota; Actinomycetes; Mycobacteriales; Dietziaceae.